This is a long non-coding RNA of Thamnophis elegans (Western terrestrial garter snake), 366 nucleotides long. RefSeq lists it as uncharacterized. The record is from RefSeq and is a predicted model, not a curated record. The transcript has 3 exons. NCBI's taxonomy places the organism in Eukaryota, Metazoa, Chordata, Lepidosauria, Squamata, Natricidae.
ACGGUGUCGCCUCCCAAAGACAGUCGUGAAGGAAACGGGACGGUGGGGAAAGUAUAUCCCGAAGUCGUGUGGCGCCUCGAGAAGGCAGAACGUGGGAAACGAAGCCUUUGACCGGGCAAAAAAAGAUAAGGAGCCUUUCAAGGGCGUCGCUCUCUAAGGAACACACAAAUGAACAAUGUUACCUUUGUUGAUACAAAUCUCAGAGUCCACCCUGGAUGAGGGAAGAAGAUAUGGUCAACUGUUAUAGUCUACAAGGCUUCAACACCACUUGCCAGUGAACAAAAGAGAUGACACAAGAACAAAAGAGUUGAAACAAGAUAUCUUCAUUUCCUGCACUUUAACCACUGUGAAAAUAAAGAAGCAAGG